Molecule: ribosomal RNA, 468 nt
Filed under: uncultured bacterium
Lineage: Bacteria
Description: partial 16S ribosomal RNA
Rfam family: Bacterial small subunit ribosomal RNA
Source: RNAcentral
GACGAACGCUGGCGGCGUGCUUAACACAUGCAAGUCGAACGGAAGGGCCCUGCUUUUGUGGGGUGCUCGAGUGGCGAAGGGGUGAGUAACACGUGAGUAUACUGCCCUUGACUUUGGGAUAACUUCAGGAAACUGGGGCUAAUACCGGAUAGGAGCUCCUGCUGCAUGGUGGGGGUUGGAAAGAUUCGGCGGUUGGGGAUGGACUCGAGGGUUAUCAGCUUGUUGGUGGGGUAGUGGUUUACCAAGGGUUAGACGGCUAGCCGGCAUGAGAGGGUGACCGGCCACAUUGCGACUGAGAUACGGCCCAGACUCCUACGGGAGGCAGCAGUGGGGAAUAUUGCACAAUGGGGGGAAGCCUGAUGCAGCAGCGCCGCGUGCGGGAUGACGGCCUUCGGGUUGUAAACCGCUUUCGCCGGUGACGAAGCCUGAGUGACGGUAAUGGGUAAAGAAGCACCGGCUAACUACGUG